GAUGAACGCUGGCGGCGUGCCUAAUACAUGCAAGUCGAGCGAACGGACGAGAAGCUUGCUUCUCUGAUGUUAGCGGCGGACGGGUGAGUAACACGUGGAUAACCUACCUAUAAGACUGGGAUAACUUCGGGAAACCGGAGCUAAUACCGGAUAAUAUUUUGAACCGCAUGGUUCAAAAGUGAAAGACGGUCUUGCUGUCACUUAUAGAUGGAUCCGCGCUGCAUUAGCUAGUUGGUAAGGUAACGGCUUACCAAGGCAACGAUGCAUAGCCGACCUGAGAGGGUGAUCGGCCACACUGGAACUGAGACACGGUACAGACUCCUACGGGAGGCAGCAGUAGGGAAUCUUCCGCAAUGGGCGAAAGCAUGACGGAGCAACGCCGCGUGAGUGAUGAAGGUCUUCGGAUCGUAAAACUCUGUUAUUAGGGAAGAACAUAUGUGUAAGUAACUGUGCACAGCUUGACGGUACCUAAUCAGAAAGCCACGGCUAACUACGUG
Molecule: ribosomal RNA, 497 nt
Filed under: uncultured bacterium
Lineage: Bacteria
Description: partial 16S ribosomal RNA
Rfam family: Bacterial small subunit ribosomal RNA
Source: RNAcentral